Molecule: long non-coding RNA, 1410 nt
Organism: Felis catus (domestic cat)
Lineage: Eukaryota; Metazoa; Chordata; Mammalia; Carnivora; Felidae
Exons: 3
Source: RefSeq, a predicted model, not a curated record
GUAGCUACGUGAACGUUCUGUCGGGGAUCCUGGGAUGGGCCUGUCUUGGAUGAUAAAGGCAUGUCAGUGUGUGUACAGAGACCCUUCUCUGAGCCAAGUCCUAAGCCCACACCUUGAUGGACUGCAACUUAGUGGUCACGGUGUCCCCGAGGACAGACUUCUUCGUUCUCCAACUUAAGGACAAGGAUGAGACUCUGAGACAGGAAGGAGCUUGCCUGAGGCGGUGGGGCCGGAACUGACCGCAGAAUGUCCGGCUUCCACCCAGCAGGUACUGUCCUGCAGCUGCCCAGAUAGUCUGGGCACUCACUACCUGCCGAGUUCUGCCAGACAGUCCCCUCGAGAGGGUGAUGAGGACAGUGACAGGCAUGGCCAAGUUGGAGAAGCGAAUUCUCAAAAAGCGCGGAGAGUGCAAGACCAUUUUUAUAAGAAACAAAACCAAAAGCACCUACGUCUUUCCUUAGAUCCGUGUGUAGGUGAAGGAACAGAGAAGAAUCUGGAAGGAGACGCACCAGACUGGUGCCAAAGCAGGCCACACGGCCAAACUCAAAGUCACAGGCGAAGAGCGAUAUCCUGCCUCUUCAGUGGAAGACACCACAAAGCCUCACGACGGAGCGUGGCUGUAAGGAGAGGCGAAGACUUGGGACCAUGAAUGCAAUCUGCCACAGGCUGAGGUCAGAGAGAAGAGCCAUCGCCAGAGCCACCCCGUCCUCCUUUGCCCAUCCUACCUCCUGUCACUACGUCGGUGGCCUGAACUCGCCGGCCAGCCCGAGGGCUGGAGAUUGGGGGCGAUGCCUUCCGCAAAGUCCCCCGGGACGAGGCAGGGAAGGAAGAGUGGCUCUGGAGGCACUGUGGAGGCUGUCCGGCUCACAGGGCUGAGAGCCACCGACCCUGAGGGCAUCUCUCCGCUGGCUCCGGGCUCUGAGGUUUCCCACCACUCCAGCGUCCUUCUUCCUGCACUCACUGCACAUCCAAGAGGGUAAGAUUCAAACGUCGCUGUGAGUAAGAAUGCCAUCAACCGGUUGGCCUACUGUUAAAUUGUCUUCCUUUCCCUGAUGCCGUCCCCUUCCUGCGGCACUGGUCCAGACAUGCCAACGAGUCCUGUCAUCGGGGGUGAAUGAGGACCCGACAAAGGAAAAUGUGCUCAAACACGGAGUGUGGUGUAUGGUGUAUAGGGACUGCUCCUUCCUGUUACUGUUAUUUUCCAUACAGAGCAAGGAUCCAAAUCCAUUUACCAAGGGCAUGGCGUCCUGGCCUGGGGAAAUGUUGUCCUGGGAAGGUGGGAAUCCUGCUGACCACAAAGUAUCAGCCUAUGCCCUCCAGUCUAGACAGAUUCGUGGUUGUUUCUUCUUCUUCUUCUUCUUCUUCUUCUUCUUCUUCUUCUUCUUCUUCUUCUCCUUCUCCUUCUCCUUC